This is a long non-coding RNA of Spinacia oleracea (spinach), 839 nucleotides long. RefSeq lists it as uncharacterized. The transcript has 4 exons. NCBI's taxonomy places the organism in Eukaryota, Viridiplantae, Streptophyta, Magnoliopsida, Caryophyllales, Amaranthaceae. The record is from RefSeq and is a predicted model, not a curated record.
CCCACCAAUCUUAUAUGUUAAACAAUCUCUCUCUAUUUCUUUAGGGUUAAUCUUCUCAACAGAUUUAGUCGAACAACGGUUGCCUUUGUCGCGGAUGCCAAUCCAUAAACGUUGGUUUCCUGAAGGGUAUUAUCCGCCUAUUCUCCUUCCGUUUGCACAAGCAGAUGAAUAUUUUGGCCGAUUUGAAGGACCUCAAAUUCGUGAGAGGUUCUUCCAUUUCUCGUCCGAGUCAAUCGCAAGACUAAAAGCUAAAGCAAACAAGGAAAACAAUAAUUACACCAGCAAAAUAUCAUCCUUUCAGGUAAGAUUGAAGUUCGGAUUGCUGCAGCUCUUGAAGCAGCUUAAAUGGCGGUUUUGGAGUUGUUGGGGGAAGCUACAGAUAAUUAGUAAAACUUUAAACAAAUGAGGUCGUCGUUGAGGAAGCUUUGAUCUUACUGCUAUUACUUUUCAGGAGUGUUGCAUCUAUUGAGUUCCUAUGCUUGAGGUUUGAAGAGAAAGCGUUGUUGAAAUACGGUAUAUCAUGAGUACAUAAUUUUUAACAUGAGUACAUAAUUUAGAUUAGUAUAUACGAAGUAUGUUUUAUUUCAUUUUGUUAGGAACUGACCCAUGGAACGAUGACAAUUUAUGGAAGACGGUAAAUCGGUGAUUGAUUAUCUAUUUUGUCUUAUUUCCUUUCUUUUUAAAGUAUUGUUUGCCUUUAAAAUGAAGGAAUCGAUGUGUAAGAAAGCUUACAUGAACGGAGAUAAAAUUAAUGUAAAAUGUUUAUUACUUCACAUUAUUAUUUAUAUUUUUUUUACAUAAAAUAGAUUUUUUUCAGUCGUGCAUCGCACGGGCGCUAA